GGAUUAGAUACCCUGGUAGUCCACGCCGUAAACGAUGCAUACUAGGUGCCGGAGUCUCUGACGACGUCGGCGCCGAAGCAAAAGUGAUAAGUAUGCCGCCUGGGGAGUACGGCCGCAAGGCUAAAACUCAAAGGAAUUGACGGGGGCUCACACAAGCGGUGGAGCAUGUGGCUUAAUUCGAAGCAACGCGAAGAACCUUACCUGGGUUUGACAUACAUGGAUACGGACGGGUAAUGCCGCGAGUUGCCCUUCGGGGUGAAACAUGUACAGGUGUUGCACGGCUGUCGUCAGCUCGUGCCG
RNAcentral lists this ribosomal RNA (300 nucleotides) under uncultured bacterium. RNAcentral describes it as "bacterial SSU rRNA". It matches the Rfam family "Bacterial small subunit ribosomal RNA", at positions 775 to 1067 of the family's 1533-position model. The record is from RNAcentral.